AUGUUGCAGAAUCUUGAUGGAGAUAUAUUAUCUGUGAUUGAGAAUCCUGUGGCUGUCAGUCAUCCUUUUCACCCAGAGAAGACAGGAGUGGGUGGGCCCCAAGGAGCUCAGAGUCAGAGCUGCCAUGCCUGGCUGAGAGGAAUCCAUUCUACAAACCACGUGUCAGCCCAUAGACUGGUGAGAGUACUGGUUGCUGUGUGUGGAGUAGGACUUCUGGGAGGCUUAGCAGUCGGAGUGUGGUUCCUAGUCAGGUUGUUGUUGCGGCCUACCUCUUCCCAGAGUCCAGCAGGGCUAGGGGACACCAAGGAGACGUCCUUCUGUAAUGUGACCGAGGACAUCUCUGUGGCUGACCCCAGGAAAGGUCUGUGCCUCUCAGCCCGUCACUCACCACAGAGACUGUCAUCUUGUCUGUGUGAUUGGCUACGUCCCAAAUAG
Salmo trutta (river trout) is the source of this 435-nucleotide long non-coding RNA. NCBI's taxonomy places the organism in Eukaryota, Metazoa, Chordata, Actinopteri, Salmoniformes, Salmonidae. The record is from Ensembl.